GACGAACGCUGGCGGCGUGCUUAACACAUGCAAGUCGAACGGAAAGGCCCUGCUUUUGUGGGGUGCUCGAGUGGCGAACGGGUGAGUAACACGUGAGUAACCUGCCCUUGACUUUGGGAUAACUUCAGGAAACUGGGGCUAAUACCGGAUAGGAGCUCCUGCUGCAUGGUGGGGGUUGGAAAGUUUCGGCUGUUGGGGAUGGACUCGCGGCUUAUCAGCUUGUUGGUGUGGUAGUGGCUUACCAAGGCUUUGACGGGUAGCCGGCCUGAGAGGGUGACCGGCGACAUUGGGACUGAGAUACGGCCCAGAAUCCUACGGGAGGCAGUAGUGGGGAAUAUUGCACAAUGGGCGGAAGCCUGAUGCAGAAACGCCGCGUGCGGGAUGACGGCCUACGGGUUGUAAACAGAUUUCGCCUGUGACGAAGAGUGAGUGACGGUAAUGGGUAAAGAAGCAACGGCUAACUACGUG
This 468-nucleotide ribosomal RNA is filed under the name uncultured bacterium. RNAcentral describes it as "partial 16S ribosomal RNA". It matches the Rfam family "Bacterial small subunit ribosomal RNA", at positions 28 to 507 of the family's 1533-position model. The record is from RNAcentral.